This 357-nucleotide unclassified non-coding RNA is filed under the name uncultured bacterium. Its description in RNAcentral is "contains 16S-23S intergenic spacer region". The record is from RNAcentral.
UCCGGGUUGGACCCGGCGGUCCCGCCAGACAUGGUAACUGGCAGCGAGGGUUGCGCUCGUUGCGGGACUUAACCCAACAUCUCACGACACGAGCUGACGACAGCCAUGCACCACCUGUGCACCGGCCCCGAAAGGCUGCCGUAUUUCUACGGCAUUCCAGUGCAUGUCAAGCCUUGGUAAGGUUCUUCGCGUUGCGUCGAAUUGAACCACAUGCUCCGCUGCUUGUGCGGGCCCCCGUCAAUUCCUUUGAGUUUCAACCUUGCGGCCGUAGUCCCCAGGCGGCUCACUUAAUGCGUUAGCUGCGGCACCGAGGGUAACCCCCGACACCUAGUGAGCAUCGUUUACAGCGUGGACUAC